CCUACGGGAGGCAGCAGUAAGGAAUAUUGGUCAAUGGACGCAAGUCUGAACCAGCCAUGCCGCGUGAAGGAUUAAGGUCCUCUGGAUUGUAAACUUCUUUUAUAUGGGACGAAAACAGAUCUUUCUAGGUCCUUUGACGGUACCAUAUGAAUAAGCACCGGCUAACUCCGUGCCAGCAGCCGCGGUAAUACGGAGGGUGCAAGCGUUAUCCGGAUUCACUGGGUUUAAAGGGUGCGUAGGCGGGUAGGUAAGUCAGUGGUGAAAUCCUGGAGCUCAACUCCAGAACUGCCAUUGAUACUAUCUAUCUUGAAUAUUGUGGAGGUAAGCGGAAUAUGUCAUGUAGCGGUGAAAUGCUUAGAUAUGACAUAGAACACCCAUUGCGAAGGCAGCUUACUACGCAUAUAUUGACGCUGAGGCACGAAAGCGUGGGGAUCAAACAGGAUUAGAUACCCUGGUAGUCCACGCCCUAAACGAUGGAUACUCGACAUACGACGAUACACAGUGUGUGUCUGAGACGAAGACAUAAGUAUACCACCCGUACGGAGGUACGUUCGCGAGAAGUAGAACGUACGAAAGAAGUUAGUACGGACGUUAGAGAGNGCCGACGGACGACACGAGGGGAGGUUAGG
RNAcentral lists this ribosomal RNA (629 nucleotides) under uncultured bacterium. RNAcentral describes it as "bacterial SSU rRNA". The stretch from base 1 to 536 matches the Rfam family "Bacterial small subunit ribosomal RNA", at positions 338 to 873 of the family's 1533-position model. The record is from RNAcentral.